AACUUUUGUGUACGUUCCAAUUCAAUUUUAUUAUUGUGGUACCAUUAGUUAAAUUCAAUAUUUUUGUUUCUUAGUAUUUUUCAGAUAAGGCAGUUUUUAUCGAGUUGCGACUUCUUUUUUAACAUGUCUACAUAAAAAUUUUAUGGGGGUUUUGUUCCUUUAAACCCCCCAAAUGUUUGUGUACGUUCCAAUUAAACUAUUACUGAGGUACCAUUAGUUAAACAGAAUGUUUUUAAAACUUUUUUGCCUCUUUGUAUUUUUUUCGAUAAGGCACGUUUUAUCGAGAUCUGGCUUCUUUUUUAA
Diabrotica virgifera virgifera (western corn rootworm) is the source of this 303-nucleotide long non-coding RNA. RefSeq lists it as uncharacterized. The record is from RefSeq and is a predicted model, not a curated record. Lineage: Eukaryota; Metazoa; Arthropoda; Insecta; Coleoptera; Chrysomelidae. The transcript has 2 exons.